RNAcentral lists this long non-coding RNA (640 nucleotides) under Elaeis guineensis (African oil palm). RNAcentral's name for it is "long non-coding RNA (EGUI_LNC004465)". Lineage: Eukaryota; Viridiplantae; Streptophyta; Magnoliopsida; Arecales; Arecaceae. The record is from RNAcentral.
UUCAAAAGCUCGUAUCUCCUCCAUCCGAGCUCCGAUUCAGGUGAUCUUGGUCUUGUUGGACUCCGUUUUUCAUCGCGAACCUCGCUGUGGGCUCAAUGUGGGUUGAAUCUCGAGGCAUCAAAUUCUAACAAUCUCCACCUCGACUCGAUAUUUGGCCUCCUCCAAACUCCGAGAGCUUCUGGAUCUCCUCGCCCCCAUGCCCUGGGGCAAUUGCCUGCUGAUCAUGGAUGGGCAAACAUGGGAGUCGAGCCAGGCUGCUCGAUCCCAUCUCCGUCGUAUGCUGUGCUCCUCCUGACUUGAGACCUGCUCGGGGCAUCGUCCUGCGGCAAUAGGAAUCUCACCUUGCGACGUCGCCUCUCGUCCUCCCGAGUCUCCUGUCUCGUGCCCGAUCCACCUCCUGGAGCUCCACCUCGCUCUGGGCUCCACCUGGCUCCCGAAGCUCCACCUCGCACUGGGCUCCCUACCAGGUAAUAAUGUCCUCUGCUCCCCUUCUUCCCCUCUAGCACAAUCCUAUUGCCGCGUAACACCCUCAGAAUUUUUCCACCAGCUACCGUCCUAUAGCCUCUCGAAUCCAGUCUGCUAAGUGAGAUAAGAUUCCGCCUGAAAUCGAGUAUGUAUCGGACCUCCCCCAAUCUCCUCA